UACGUAGGGCGCGAGCGUUGUCCGGAAUUAUUGGGCGUAAAGAGCUCGUAGGCGGCCGGUUGCGUCUGCUGUGAAAUCCCGGGGCUUAACCCCGGGCGUGCAGUGGAUACGGGCCGGCUGGAGGCAGGCAGGGGAGAAUGGAAUUCCCGGUGUAGCGGUGAAAUGCGCAGAUAUCGGGAGGAACACCAGUGGCGAAGGCGGUUCUCUGGGCCUGUACUGACGCUGAGGAGCGAAAGCGUGGGGAGCGAACAGG
RNAcentral lists this ribosomal RNA (253 nucleotides) under uncultured bacterium. RNAcentral's name for it is "partial 16S ribosomal RNA". It matches the Rfam family "Bacterial small subunit ribosomal RNA", at positions 524 to 776 of the family's 1533-position model. The record is from RNAcentral.